Long non-coding RNA from Onychomys torridus (southern grasshopper mouse), 652 nucleotides. RefSeq lists it as uncharacterized. The transcript is spliced from 3 exons. The record is from RefSeq and is a predicted model, not a curated record. Lineage: Eukaryota; Metazoa; Chordata; Mammalia; Rodentia; Cricetidae.
UGGCACAGACUCGCCUCUUCCACUCGUUUUUGUUUCCCUGGGUUUGGCCUCUGAGGGCCCCACUGGGUCUUGCUCACUUGGGUUCAUGUUCCUUUAUCCUGUAAGAACACCUUGCCCUGGGCACUGGAGACAACGCAGAGAAUAAAACAGACCAGCUCACAGUUGGCAUUGAGGCUCAGAGCCUGCAUGCCAAACAGAACUGCCUGGGUUCAAAUCCUGGCUCUACUGCUAAUCAGCUGCACCACCUCAGGCAGAAAACAGAAAGAUACAGCCCCAGAAAGGGCAUCAGGGCCGCCAGGUGGAUGAAGCCUGGAUCCCUAUGACUCUGAAUGGAGGAAAGCCAGCUGCAGUGAGCCGUUGUGUGACCAGAAAAACAGACAGCAGCAUCGAUUCAUAGCACUGAUUUACCACUGCUUCCCAGCUGCUACAAAACGGAUGUGCGGGCCGACACCUUAAUCUCUACCCAUCUCACUGCCAGCAAAUAACUGCUAAUUAAUACCUUUCUGCUUCCCGUCGCCUGCCAGCUCUGAGGGACAUCAAUACAUAUGUGGGACCAGAGGCCAUCCGAGGACCCAGUGGAACUGACCAGGUGAGGAGUGGAUCAUCAGCGCUGUAGCUCCACCCCGACCCCAUCAGACACACACAAUCAGCU